RNAcentral lists this ribosomal RNA (253 nucleotides) under uncultured bacterium. RNAcentral describes it as "partial 16S ribosomal RNA". It matches the Rfam family "Bacterial small subunit ribosomal RNA", at positions 524 to 776 of the family's 1533-position model. The record is from RNAcentral.
UACGUAGGGGGCGAGCGUUGUCCGGAGUUACUGGGCGUAAAGGGCACGCAGGCGGUUCGGCAAGUUUGAGGUAACAGCUCCUGGCUUAACUGGGAGAGCGCCUUGAAAACUGUCGGACUGGAGGGCCAGAGAGGGACACAGAAUUCCGGGUGUAGUGGUGAAAUGCGUAGAUAUCCGGAGGAAUACCAAAGGCGAAGGCAGUGUCCUGGCUGGAACCUGACGCUGAGGUGCGAAAGCUAGGGGAGCGAACGGG